CAAUAGCCCCGAUGGGAGCGGCAUCCUUUUCCGGUCAUUGAGGCUCUCGAAAUGACCGGAAAAGAUACAGCGGACAGCGGGAAAAAGG
This 88-nucleotide small RNA is filed under the name Flavobacterium cauense R2A-7. RNAcentral describes it as "Flavo-1 RNA". It matches the Rfam family "Flavo-1 RNA". Lineage: Bacteria; Pseudomonadati; Bacteroidota; Flavobacteriia; Flavobacteriales; Flavobacteriaceae. The record is from RNAcentral.